This 253-nucleotide ribosomal RNA is filed under the name uncultured bacterium. RNAcentral's name for it is "partial 16S ribosomal RNA". It matches the Rfam family "Bacterial small subunit ribosomal RNA", at positions 524 to 776 of the family's 1533-position model. The record is from RNAcentral.
UACGGAGGGGGCAAGCGUUGUUCGGAAUUACUGGGCGUAAAGGGCGCGUAGGCGGCCAGUUGCGUCGGGUGUGAAAGCCCCGGGCUCAACCUGGGUGGUGCACUUGAUACGGGCUGGCUGGAAUCCGGGAGAGGAUGGUGGAAUUCCCAGUGUAGAGGUGAAAUUCGUAGAUAUUGGGAAGAACACCGCUGGCGAGGGCAGCCAUCUGGACCGGGAUUGACGCUGAGGCGCGAAAGCGUGGGGAGCAAACAGG